Molecule: unclassified non-coding RNA, 312 nt
Filed under: plant metagenome
Description: partial contains 5.8S ribosomal RNA, internal transcribed spacer 2, and large subunit ribosomal RNA
Rfam family: 5.8S ribosomal RNA (bases 1-103)
Source: RNAcentral
AAUGCGAUAAUUAAUGUGAAUUGCAGAAUUCAGUGAAUCAUCGAGUCUUUGAACGCACAUUGCGCCCCCUGGUAUUCCGGGGGGCAUGCCUGUCCGAGCGUCAUUGCUGCCCUCAAGCACGGCUUGUGUGUUGGGCUUCCGUCCCUGGCAACGGGGACGGGCCCAAAAGGCAGUGGCGGCACCAUGUCUGGUCCUCGAGCGUAUGGGGCUUUGUCACCCGCUCCCGUAGGUCCAGCUGGCAGCUAGCCUCGCAACCAAUCUUUUUAACCAGGUUGACCUAGGAUCAGGUAGGGAUACCCGCUGAACUUAAGC